This 489-nucleotide ribosomal RNA is filed under the name uncultured bacterium. Its description in RNAcentral is "bacterial SSU rRNA". It matches the Rfam family "Bacterial small subunit ribosomal RNA", at positions 28 to 527 of the family's 1533-position model. The record is from RNAcentral.
GAUGAACGCUAGCGGCAGGCUUAAUACAUGCAAGUCAAGGGGGUAGCAAUACAACCGGCGCACGGGUGAGUAACGCGUACACAACAUACCAUAUACUGGAGUAUAGCUUUGGGAAACUGAAGGUAAUCCUCCAUAACAUUGCGAGAGGGCAUCUGAUUGCAAUUAAAGUUUCGGCGGUAUAUGAUUGGUGUGCGUUUGAUUAGCUAGUUGGUAGGGUAACGGCCUACCAAGGCGACGAUCAAUAGCUGGCGUGAGAGCGCGACCAGCCACACUGGAACUGAGACACGGUCCAGACUCCUACGGGAGGCAGCAGUAGGGAAUAUUGGACAAUGGAGGAAACUCUGAUCCAGCCAUGCCGCGUGAUAGAUGAAGGCCCUCUGGGUUGUAAAUAUCUUUUUAUCUGGGAAGAAACACUCCUAUUCUUAGGAACUUGACGGUACCAGAGGAAUAAGCACCGGCUAACUCCGUGCCAGCAGCCGCGGUAAUGUA